Molecule: long non-coding RNA, 4016 nt
Filed under: Prunus dulcis (almond)
Lineage: Eukaryota; Viridiplantae; Streptophyta; Magnoliopsida; Rosales; Rosaceae
Description: sRNA ncRNA
Source: RNAcentral
CCUUUACACAUUUAUAUAAGAACCUCUAAACCUCAUGCCCUGCCUAUGCAAGAGCAGAAGUACAAGAAGGGAGACUCAAACUCAAAGAGUUUCCAUUCUUGCACCAUCAUGUCCACCACCACCACCCAUAAUGACCUCCCACUACACACCCACAAGCGCUCCCGUCGAACGACCGCGAACCGCUUGUUUGCGGUGGUUCACUCGUGUGCCAUCCUAGCCCUUCUCUACCGCCAUGCACUCUCUCUCCUCCACUCCACAUCCCUCACCUCUUUCCUUAUCACCCUUACCUUCCUCAUCUCCGACUCUAUUCUGGCUUUCAUGUACAGCACCGCACAAUCUCCUCGUAUGACACCGAUUUACCGUAAAGAAUUCCCCGAAAACCUGAAAAGGGUUGUCAAAGAAUCGGAUUUCCCAGCGUUAGACAUGAUCAUAUGCACUGCUGAUCCUUUCAAAGAGCCACCAAUGAACGUGGUAAACACCGCCUUAUCGGUCAUGGCUUAUGAUUAUCCGACCGAUAAGGUUUCGGUGUAUGUUUCAGAUGAUGGGGGCUCGGCUCUCACUCUCUUUGCUUUCAUGGAGGCCGCCAGGUUUGCAAGCCACUGGUUACCUUUCUGCAGAGAGAACAGCAUAGUGGAACGCUGCCCUGAAGCUUACUUUGAAACUGAUCAUUCUCGGUUACCCGAAGCUGACAAGAUCAAGGUAAUUUUAUCAUAUUUCAAUUUUGCUUAAUUAUUAACUAUAAAUAUGUUUAUCUAAAUCAAUAUGUAUGGUAGUAAUAUCCUCUUAUCAAGUUUAUAUUGUCACAUAAAUAAGUAUAGUGCCGGAUUAUAUCGUGUGAUGAGAUAAGAUCAUAUAAUACUUAUGUUACUAGACUAUGAAUAUUGAUUGUUAUGACUUUUCUUGGUUAUACUGUAAUUAGGAUAUUACAUAAAAAGGAGUUUAUAUUUUUGCUCAGAUUGAAAAGGGGACCUUCUUAAUCUUUAGAAACGCCCCUACCAAAAUUGCUCAUGUAUUCAGUAACACAAAAGGUGACGUCGGCUGCAAUACUUAUUUGUCAUCUUGUUUGGGUUCCUAUCCUCUUCAUAAUGCAUGAGCCAAUGACGGCACAAACAGCCAACACCAAGUUGAAUGGGCAUCGCAUCACAUUCAGGACUGGCCUAAUUAACCCAGAUUAAGCUUUAUUAAUUAUGUUUUGUUCUGAAUCAUGGCACAGAUUAUGUACCAAGGCAUGAAAGGGAUGGUAAACAAUGUAAUUGAAAGAGGCAAAGUUGGCGACGAAUAUAUAACUGGAGAACGGGAAAGGCUAGCUUUUAGGAAAUGGACAGACGGAUUUACCCGACAAGAUCAUCCCACUAUUAUUCAGGUAUAUUUUUCUAUCCCGAUUGGUGGACCACUUUCUCUCGCUAUUACAAUCGACAUGAUAAGAGUUUGAUUCUUUCUUCCUUUCCUUUGAAUUUUAAACCAAAAAAAAAACUAAUCUCAAUUUUUACAUAUAUAAAUUCUACUUGGGACAAUAAUAAUCAUUCUUGUGACUCGUGAGGAACUAAUCACUAACAAUCUUGUAAAAGAAAAAAAAAAGGAACUAGAAAACCCAAUUAUGUCAUCUCCUAUUACAUAGUUUAAUGUGCUAUAGAUGUCGUGAUAUAUUGUCCUUUGACAAUUCAAAAUCAUCAACUAAUCAACCCUCGUAAUUCAAAAUUAUUCACAGUUUACUCACUAGUUAGCGUUUGAGAACUUUAUAAGCUUAUAUAUAUAUAUAUAUAUAUAUAUAUGUAUGUACUAAAAAGCAUAUAUGUACGUGGACAGGUUCUUUUGGACAAUAGCGAAGACAGAGACAUCGCAGACAAUUCAAUGCCAAACCUAAUAUACGUCUCUAGAGAGAAAAGCAGGACAUCACACCACAAUUUUAAAGCUGGUGCCCUUAAUGCUCUUGUAAGCUUCCAUACCUUUUCUUUUGGGCUCACGUAACCAUCUCAUUCUCAAAUAAUUAAUUAAUCAUCUUCAUUUCUUCACCAACUAAUUUAUAUUUUUCUGAUGGUGUGUUGUAACAAAAGCUUCGAGUCUCAGCCACCAUGACCAAUGCUCCAAUAGUCUUAACCCUAGACUGUGACAUGUUCUCCAAUGAUCCCCAAACACCUCAUCGUGCCCUCUGUUACUUCUUAGACCCCAAAAUUCAAUCUAAACUAGGGUAUGUGCAGUUUCCUCAACGCUUUCAUGGGAUCGACAAGAGCGACAUGUAUGCAUCUGAAAACAGGCAUUUGUUUGAAAUUAAUCCACAAGGAAUGGAUGGGGUUUUAGGGCCAAAUUAUGUAGGAACUGGGUGUUUUUUCUCAAGAAGAGUUUUCUUUGGCGGCCCAUCAAAGUUUUUACCACCCGGAAACCCCCAACUUGGUCCAAACAAUGUGGUGGACAAGCCCAUUCAGAGUCCAGAGGUUCUAGAAUUGGCACACCAUGUUGCAGCUUGCAACUAUGAGAAAAACUCCAAUUGGGGAUCAAAGGUACACUCUUUCUUUUUGAACGAGUUGUUAUUUCUGUUUCAAAAAAGUCAUCGUGUACUUAGAUUCUAAAACUGAUGAAUUAAGUUAUUAAAUUGCGUAGAUUGGCGUGAGAUAUGGUUCGCUGGUGGAGGACUACUUUACUGGUUAUCGUUUGCAGUGUGAGGGGUGGAAGUCUAUAUUUUGCAAUCCAGAUAAGCCAGCAUUUUCUGGGGAUUCCCCAAUCAACCUUAUUGAUGUUUUAAAUCAAACCAAGCGAUGGGCCAUAGGCCUUCUUGAGGUGUGUUUCUCUAGGUAUAGCCCAAUUACAUUUGGCAUAAAAGCCAUGGGCCUGCGCAUGGGCCUUGCUUAUUGUUAUGGAUUUUGGGCCAUUUGGUCAAUUCCAAUCACCACAUAUGCCUUCCUACCCCAACUAGCUCUUCUCAAUGGACUCACUAUAUUUCCAAAGGUAACCCUUUUCACAAUUUCACUUUCUAAAUAAUUAGUAAUUUAAUUUCCAUAAUCAAACAAUUUGAUAUAUCAUGUCGCAAUGUUAGAAUGUUAAUUUGACCUAAUUAAGAUUCAUAUUAACAUUUUGACAACAUCUCAUAAGUGUCUAAUGUAGUAAUCUAAAUAUACAAGGGUCGGACAAGAUGUGCACUAAGAUUGAAGUACUUAUUGCAGGUUUCAGAGCCAUGGUUUCUCUUAUAUGUGUUUGUUUUCAUCGGAGCCUACUUUGAAGAUCUUCUAGAUUUUCACUCAAUUGGAGUAACAUUCCAAAAGUGGUGGAGUGACCAAAGGAUGUGGCUGAUUAAGGGACUCUCAAGCUUCUUGUUUGGAUCCAUUGAGUUCUUCUUCAAGUCCUUUGGCAUUGCCACACUUGGGUUCAAUGUGACAAGCAAAGUCAUUGACGAGGACCAAAGCAAAAGGUACGAACAAGGAAGAAUGGAGUUUGGAGUCCCAUCACCUUUGUUUGUGCCCCUAACAACGGCUGCCGUUGUCAACUUGGCUGCCUUUGCUUGGGGGCAUGUAGAGGUUUUCAGAGGCAGCAAUGGCCUGGAGGGACUGUUGAUGCAGAUGUUCAUAGCUGGGUUUGGGAUAGCAAAUUGCAUGCCAAUUUAUGAAGGCAUAAUUAGGAGUGAUAAAGGAAAAAUUCCUACAAAAAUUACUUUAGUUUCAACAUUUAUAGCGUUUGCUCUUUAUGCAGCAGCUUAUGUUACUCUUAGGAACUGAACCCCAAAAACUGUGUUAAGAGAAAGCGAUUUCGAAUAAAACGUUGUUAGAGCCCCACAGUUUUUUUUAAUGAAUUUGGAGUCCCUAUGAGAGAUCCCAAUAGCUUGACGACAAAGCUGUGGACCAUUGUUUUGUUUAAUCAUUGGCCUCAAUGCUAAGUUUUCUAAGCUCCACUCAGUCUUCUUUGCAAAAGAUAGUUUAGUUAAUCUUAAUCGGACCACUUGGUCACCGCCAUUGUGUUAGGUUUCCUUUUAGGUAUUUUGGGAAACUUCUUUGUACAUUAAUAUAAAUAAUGAAAAACUUAAUGGG